AUGAUUUAGAAAUUAGGAUAACAAUAAUAUUUUUUGAUAGAUGAGUAUUCUUUUAGAUUUUUUUGAUCAAUAGUUGUAUUUUUUAAAUAUAAUUCUCAAAAAUUCUAUUUUAGGAAAGUUUUCAAUUUUUUUUAGAAAUGUUGUAGAUUUGGGGUUGUGAUUUAGAAAUUAGGAUGACAAUAAUUUUUGUUGAUAGAUGAGUAUUCUUUUAGAUUUUUUUGAUCAAUAGUUUUAUUUUUUAAAUAUAAUUUUCAAAAAAAAUUUCAUUUUUUCAUAGAAAUAUUGUAGAUUUGGGGUUGUGGUUCAGAAAUUAGGAUAACAAUAAUUUUUGUUGAUA
RNAcentral lists this long non-coding RNA (337 nucleotides) under Brassica rapa (field mustard). Its description in RNAcentral is "long non-coding RNA (BRAP_LNC004735)". Lineage: Eukaryota; Viridiplantae; Streptophyta; Magnoliopsida; Brassicales; Brassicaceae. The record is from RNAcentral.